RNAcentral lists this ribosomal RNA (497 nucleotides) under uncultured bacterium. RNAcentral describes it as "partial 16S ribosomal RNA". It matches the Rfam family "Bacterial small subunit ribosomal RNA", at positions 28 to 507 of the family's 1533-position model. The record is from RNAcentral.
GAUGAACGCUGGCGGCGUGCCUAAUACAUGCAAGUCGAGCGAACAGACGAGGAUCUUGCUCCUCUGACGUUAGCGGCGGACGGGUGAGUAACACGUGGAUAACCUACCUAUAAGACUGGGAUAACUUCGGGAAACCGGAGCUAAUACCGGAUAAUAUAUUGAACCGCAUGGUUCAAUAGUGAAAGACGGUUUUGCUGUCACUUAUAGAUGUAUCCGCGCCGCAUUAGCUAGUUGGUAAGGUAACGGCUUACCAAGGCAACGAUGCGUAGCCGACCUGAGAGGGGGAUGGGCCACACUGGAACUGAGACACGGUACAGACACCGAGGGGAGGCAGCAGUAGGGAAUCUUCCGCAAUGGGCGAAAGCCUGACGGAGCAACGCAGCGUGAGUGAUGAAGGUCUUCGGAUCGUAAAACUCUGUUAUUAGGGAAGAACAAAUGUGUAAGUAACUAUGCACGUCUUGACGGUACCUAAUAAGAAAGCCACGGCUAACUACGUG